AGAGUUUGAUCCUGGCUCAGAUUGAACGCUGGCGGCGUGCUUAACACAUGCAAGUCGUGCGAGAAAGGGGACUUCGGUCCCUGAGUAGAGCGGCGCACGGGUGAGUAACGCGUGGAUUAUCUACCCAGACGUUCGGGAUAACGGCGGGAAACUGCCGCUAAUACCGGAUACGCUCCAAUUUCGGUUGGGGGAAAGGCGGCCUCUGCUUGCAAGCUGUCGCAUCUGGAUGAGUCCGCGUCCCAUUAGCUUGUUGGUGGGGUAAUGGCCUACCAAGGCUACGAUGGGUAGCUGGUCUGAGAGGAUGAUCAGCCACACUGGAACUGAAACACGGUCCAGACUCCUACGGGAGGCAGCAGUGGGGAAUAUUGCGCAAUGGGGGAAACCCUGACGCAGCGACGCCGUGUGAGGGAAGAAGGCUUUCGGGUCGUAAACCUCUGUCAGAAAGGAAGAACCUCCCAAGUCCGAAUAGGGCUUGGGACUGACGGUACUUUCAAAGGAAGCACCGGCUAACUCCGUGCCAGCAGCCGCGGUAAUACGGAGGGUGCAAGCGUUAAUCGGAAUCACUGGGCGUAAAGCGCGCGUAGGCCGCUUUGUAAGUCGGACGUGAAAGCCCUCGGCUCAACCGGGGAACUGCGUUCGAUACUGCGAGGCUUGAGUCCUGGAGAGGGUGGCGGAAUUCCGGGUGUAGGAGUGAAAUCCGUAGAUAUCCGGAGGAACACCGGUGGCGAAGGCGGCCACCUGGACAGGUACUGACGCUGAGGCGCGAAAGCGUGGGGAGCAAACAGGAUUAGAUACCCUGGUAGUCCACGCCGUAAACGAUGGAUGCUAGGUGUCGGGGAGCGAUCCUCGGUGCCGGAGUUAACGCAUUAAGCAUCCCGCCUGGGGAGUACGGUCGCAAGGCUGAAACUCAAAGGAAAUUGACG
This 923-nucleotide ribosomal RNA is filed under the name uncultured bacterium. RNAcentral describes it as "bacterial SSU rRNA". It matches the Rfam family "Bacterial small subunit ribosomal RNA", at positions 8 to 915 of the family's 1533-position model. The record is from RNAcentral.